RNAcentral lists this small nuclear RNA (62 nucleotides) under Mus spicilegus (steppe mouse). RNAcentral's name for it is "U7 small nuclear RNA (ENSMSIG00000013638.1)". It matches the Rfam family "U7 small nuclear RNA". From Rfam's summary of the family: Animal histone pre-mRNAs are spliced by a different mechanism than nuclear pre-mRNAs and self-splicing introns. This processing involves the U7 snRNP, which contains only one RNA species: U7. The 5' end of U7 RNA is thought to base-pair to a conserved spacer element downstream of the cleavage site in histone pre-mRNA. The record is from Rfam by way of RNAcentral. Lineage: Eukaryota; Metazoa; Chordata; Mammalia; Rodentia; Muridae.
AGCUAACAUAGCUCUCUUAGAAUUUUUCUACCAGGUUUUCUGACUUUUGUCAGAAAAUCCAA